AAGAACACUGUGUGGCAGGUUGAAGAUUUGAGCAAAGAGUUAGCUAAUGCAUUGUCUGCAGUUGCAUUUGCUGAAUUUAGGGCUGCUGUGGCUGAGGCAAAACUCUCUGGCCUUCAAAGGAAAAUGGGUUCCGUUGACGAUAAGGUUUUUGAAAAGGUUGGUGUAAGUGGAUUUCUAUUUAGCUCAAGUGAUGUGGUUGCUGGUGAACUACAAGCAGCAAAAGAGGAGAUUGAAAAAUUGAAAGAGGAAGCUAAUGCUAACA
Long non-coding RNA from Arachis duranensis, 262 nucleotides. RefSeq lists it as uncharacterized. The record is from RefSeq and is a predicted model, not a curated record. The transcript has 4 exons. NCBI's taxonomy places the organism in Eukaryota, Viridiplantae, Streptophyta, Magnoliopsida, Fabales, Fabaceae.